Molecule: ribosomal RNA, 429 nt
Filed under: Gemmatimonadota bacterium
Lineage: Bacteria; Pseudomonadati; Gemmatimonadota
Description: Gemmatimonadetes bacterium partial 16S ribosomal RNA
Rfam family: Bacterial small subunit ribosomal RNA
Source: RNAcentral
UAGGGAAUCUUCGGCAAUGGACGAAAGUCUGACCGAGCAACGCCGCGUGCGUGAAGAAGGUUUUCGGAUCGUAAAACUCUUUUGUUAGAGAAGAACAAGGACGUUAGUAACUGAACGUCCCCUGACGGUAUCUAACCAGAAAGCCACGGCUAACUACUUGCCAGCAGCCGCGGUAAUACGUAGGUGGCAAGCGUUGUCCGGAUUUAUUGGGCGUAAAGCGAGCGCAGGCGGUUUCUUAAGUCUGAUGUGAAAGCCCCCGGCUCAACCGGGGAGGGUCAUUGGAAACUGGGAGACUUGAGUGCAGAAGAGGAGAGUGGAAUUCCAUGUGUAGCGGUGAAAUGCGUAGAUAUAUGGAGGAACACCAGUGGCGAAGGCGGCUCUCUGGUCUGUAACUGACGCUGAGGCUCGAAAGCGUGGGGAGCAAACAGG